AGGAGGAACAGCCCCAGGGGCGGGGCCAGCUCUGCAGCCCUGGAUCAGCUCCCGCCGUAACUCCGGAGCUCUCUGUCUGCAGGGCCUGGAGGCUCCGGGGCGGG
RNAcentral lists this microRNA precursor (104 nucleotides) under Canis lupus familiaris (dog). RNAcentral's name for it is "mir-8834 microRNA precursor family". It matches the Rfam family "mir-8834 microRNA precursor family". The record is from Rfam by way of RNAcentral. Lineage: Eukaryota; Metazoa; Chordata; Mammalia; Carnivora; Canidae.